UUUAUUGCGUGUUGAUAAAUAAUCAUAUUUUCUUAGAAGAUAAAGUGAAUUAUCUAUUUCAAAGAAAGAAUGAAUCUUUUGAAAUAUCAUGUCUUCUUUGAGUUAAUUGCAGUUAUUCUCAACCAUUUUCCUUGUUUCUAAAUAUUCUAUCACUUUUUUAAUUCAGUUUUCCCUUUUGCUAUUAUACCAAUCUCUACCUAUUAUUGUCAUAAUGACUAAAAGCUGAGACUUAAACUAGAAUUCUCCUUUUCCCAAAAAGAUGUUUCUGUCUCACCUUUUACAGACUGCUAAUUCCUUCUUACAGAGUCUGUCUUCAAAAUGAUAGUGGUGGAGGAGAGUUUCUUUAACUUACUUGCGUUUGUAUUCUAUCUUUCUGCAUCCAUGAUUGAAACUCCCUCCUCUCUGGGUAAAGCUCAUUUUUAGCAUAAAUAGAUUAGUAAAUAUUAAUUAAAUUGAACUAAGGGAUGAAAGUGAUGAAGGGCUAGUUUAAUAGAGUAUGGCUUCAGAAAUACACAAAGAAACUCCCUCCUCUGUAGCUCAUUUUUGGCAUAAAUAGAUUAGUAAAUAUUAAUUAAAUUGAACUAAGGGAUGAAAGUGAUGAAGGGCUAGUUUAAUGAGUAUGGCUUCAGAAAUAGAGUAUGGCUUCAGAGAACAGAGGUUUGGUGAGAGAUGAGGAAGGGGUAUCUUGAUUCAACUCAUUGGCAUUAGCAAAUUGUUAGGCUGGUUGGUUUUGAUGACAGUAACAGUGAGGAAAUGAUUUGUGAUUGACAUAGCUCCAGUGGAUGAAGGAGGGGAGAAAAUGAGAAGGAUGUGAGGAGGCUAAGCUGAGCUCCAGAAAGAGAGUUGAGUAUACAGUAGCUGGUAACCUACCAUGUGAUGUUUCCUUAUUUAAAGAAAACAAUCAAAUGCUGAAUAUUUUCACUUUAUGCAUAUAAAUUAUCAGAUGCCUAGACCAAGCCAGUUACUAAGUGAUGUGAGAUUGACAAUUCCAUUUAUUAUUUAGAAUAAUACAACUGUAUUGUCUCCAUCUUAUUGAUAAGGAAGCUAAACUUGGAUUGAUUAUGGUCCUUCUGGCACCAAUCCUUUGCCCAUGACCAUCAAGAAUGAAUGGAAUUUUAUCCGAUCAGAUGUGUACCAUGGUUGAGGCACUCUGGUAUUUAAAAUUAUUAGUUUCUUUAUAAUUGUAGAUUCACAUUUUCACUUUCUACUUCCGAGCAAGUAAAAUGCUAGAAUUCCUAUUUCAGAUUCCUUCAAAAUUUUUGUCUCUUUAUGCAUUUUUUGCCUAUAGUUUGCAUACCUUUCAGUAAAUUAUCAAUACAUUUGUGACUAUGAAGGGUUUUAAGUAAAUAUAAACAAAAAUAAAGAGAUAUAAAAAAUCAUACUUAACUAUGGAUGGUUUUGAAAACACAGCUGCACUUGUAGACUGUAUGCUAAUUACAAUACAAAAAUCAUUGAUAUAUGCAAAUAAUGAAUAAUCACCUGAAAACAGUUUAUGAAAUCCAAGAGGGGAUUUUUAUGAAGGAGAUUUAUAAAAACAUUACAUGGCCUCUAUACACAUCUUCUCACUUAACUACUAUGUGUUUAAUUUGAUGUUUUAUAGAAUUAACUCAAGGGCAAAUUGUGUGGUAAGCAAUGGUAAUUUAUCUCUACCACAUUUUGUGCUUAGCACCAUUAUUACAAUCUAUGGAUAUUUUCUAUAAUUCCAUGUACUGCUGUUCUACCUUCCCCAAAUUAAUAGUCAUUCUGGCUCACCAUCUUUCCUUAAAACAACAACAACCAUUAAAACAUCUAGAUAUUACUUUGUCAUUUUUCUUAUAGUCUUGUAAUCUGGGAGUCAAAACAGAGGUGACAUUAGUCAUUGAUGUAUUAGUGGUCUAUUAUUCCCUUUUCAAAUGAGAUUCCAUAUCACAGUUAAGACUCAGAGCCAAGGAUGACUCCAAUACUGAAGGUUUCUGUUCUAUAAUAGCCCUUGUAGGUUUUGUUGUGCUUUAUAUGUAAGGCGUUUUUAAUGUGUGGUGUAUUGUGUUUAAGUAGAGGCCCAUGACUCAUCUCAAAUCAUGUUAUUUAACCGUCAUGAGCAUUUUUUGCAUAAUUGCAAUGUCAGGCGCUGUCCAGGGUGCUGCAACAUGGGUUAUUUUCUGGCUGUUUUUAAUAAUCUGAAAGUAUUUAUAUCCCCAUUUCUUCAGAAUAAAUCUUAUUAAUUCAAUCUAUAUCCAGUGGGCAUUCAUUCUUAGAUUUUCUGGCUAUAAUUUUGGUAUUUUCUUUUUCACAACUGUCCUGUUGGCUUCUAUUCUUUUUACUUUCCCAUUGCUGUGAUUCCUAAUUUCCCUCAGAGAAAUAAAUUGGUUUUGGUUAUAUUUGUUUUGAGAUUCAAAUCCAGGCAUAUUUAUGGGGAUAUAAAAAUGCUUUAGAACCUCUUUUGAUAUAAUUUCAUUUGUUUUAAACUAAAGUAUACUACAAUAUAAUGACAUCUAUUUCAACAUUAUUGCAAAAAAAAUGGUGUACCCAGACUCUUUUAUAAGAAGGUAAAAUAAAGUUUGGGACCAAUUUUAGUGUGAAUGCAGGUUUUAUUUAUUAAGCCUGGGCUGCAAGGACAAGAAAAACCAUUGUGCAGAGCUUAAGACCUAUCUACUAACAAAUGGCCAUUUAGUUCUGAUUUAAUGUAACUCCUGGGCACCAGUGAAUCACCCACUGAGAUACUAAGCCAAAGCAUAAGAUUUUUAAGUUUUGAUGCUCCUUGUCAAACUGAUGCUUUAUACAGUUAGGCAUUUCUGUUGCUUAAAGGCUGAGUAAAUUAUUCAAGGAAAAAAAGUUGAUGUAACUGUUUUUUGAUUUUUUUUCAUGUUGAUUCAGGAGCUAUCUAGGUUCUUCAUUUAUCCAUUGGUAUAUGAUUUUAAAAUCUGGAUGUGAAGAAAGGGACCUUAUAAGUAACAACAUUUAUUAAUAUCAUAGUACAUUAUGUAAAAUCCUGACAAUUUAAAGAAACUGAUGAAUUUUAAUAAUCCAAGUUUUGAAAAUCAUAGUGUCAAAAACUUAACAUUUGUAUCUCUUUAUCAUACAUCAGCUUUAUUACUUUCAUUUUUACCCAGUUCAAAAUAUGCAAUUCUGUAAUUCCUAGCAUAAAUCAAUUUCUUGAAUCCUUUUAAACCUAUCAAAAAUUGAGAUUUUUCUGUUCAUUAUGGAAGUAGACAAUUUCUUUGAAUGCCUUUUUUUCAUUGUUAUUUUCCACAGUUGAAAUGAUGAAGCUAGUCCAAUAUGGGCAUAUGGGCCCAGGGAUACUCAGUAAAGAUGACAAGUCUGAUUGUCCUCUAGCAGGACUCAUAACACAUCAGAGAUAUUUUUUGAACAGAAAAAUAUUUGGCACAUGCCUACAUAUCAUCAAUUUGAUUGACAAUCUCAUUAUGAAAACUUCUCUGUUACAUGAGGUUAGAUCAUACAAAAUGAAAUUUCAAAAAUAAAAUUCUAGUACCCUUCAACAGAGGUUGUUAUUUGAUAGCAUGUUGUUUGUAAUUUAUGGUAAAUUCUAUUUACUUGCUUUUCUCAAUUACAUGUUAAAAAUAUCUUUAUUUGAAAUGUCUAUACUCUGAGGAAAAUACCUCAGUAUUGUAUAAUGCUCACUAUUUCAACCACUGGUAUACAUUUUCAACUGAAUAUUAUCAAAAGUUGUCAACUGAGAACCCUGAGGUCUAGCUUUAUUGGAGCUUUCUUUUUGACCCUUCUUAGCUGUGUGGUCUUGAGUAAUUUUUGCACCCUUUCUAGGUCUUAGAAUCAUCAUUUGAUAAACAGAAAUAGAAAUGGAUUUGUGGUUUCCAAGAUCAAAUCCUUGAACUGGGGCCUUUCUGAUAUAAAGUUUCACUAGUUCAGGUUACAGUGAUAAACAUAAACUGAGUUUAUUAUUUUAAUAAUUUUUUUAUUUGAGUUCUGAUUUAUGCUGUUAUUUGCUUGAUGUUAAUUUUUUUCUUAAAUUAUUAUAAGAAUAUCUCAAUCACAUUCAAUUUUAGACUCAGAAUUUUGUUUAGAACAACCAAAAUGUAAAAAAUAUAGUUGGAAACAGACCUAUUUCUGUUUAGACAGUGUACUGGAUAAUACAGAAUGACUGGUCAUUUUAUUAAUUAGAAUAAUGGUAUCACACUUGUCAUUAUGUUAAGAAAAUAUCUUUAUUUUUUAAAGCUUCAUUCUAACUAUAAGUUUUUUUUUUUAAAUAUGGGGUUUGUGAUAAAAAGAGUUCAUUAAAAUAUGUAGAUAAAGUAUAUAUGCCAAAAUGUUCAUGAUUUUUAAUCAGGAUUAUGGAUAGAAUGUGAUUGUCCACCAAUAUUCCCUAGUAUAUUUUCAGUGCUGGAAUUACAUUUAUUUGGUAACUUUGCAGUUAGGGAUUGCAUUGAGACAAAGUUCUAGUGUUUGAAAUGUGUCUAUGUAUAUCCUUGACUGAAUCUGUCACUUUCACUUCCUCAACUUCUGCCUAAUCUUUCAGAUAACAGAUUUAGAUAACAAGCAUUUAUUGAGAGUUUAAACAGUGCCUCUCAGUAUGAUUUUUAAAGCUAUGUGACAUCUCUAGGGAGUUAAUAAAUUAUUAUUUUUUGGAUAUAGACUCCUUUUUUUGCCAUAAAACAUCAGUGAGUCUUUGCUUCUAAAACUCUCUGCCAGUAAGAUAAGUACAUAUAAUACAAACUUACUGGGGUCAGAGAGACCCGAGGCCUCUGGGUUCAAUUCGCAGUCAUGGCACUUAUUAGGUAUUAAGAUUAAGAAUAUUACCCUGGAGGAGUUCCCAUUGGGGCUCAGUGGUAACAAACCUGACUAAUAUCCAUGAGGAUACUACAUUAAGGAUCCAGUGUUAAUAUGGCUAUGGCAUAGGCAGGCAGCUGCAUGCCUCUCCUAUAAUAAUUUGAAUCCAAAUAAUUGACUACUAGCCUGGGAACUUCUAUGUGCUGCAUGUGUGGCCCUAAAAAG
Molecule: long non-coding RNA, 4947 nt
Filed under: Sus scrofa (pig)
Lineage: Eukaryota; Metazoa; Chordata; Mammalia; Artiodactyla; Suidae
Description: lncRNA (ENSSSCG00000056833.1)
Source: RNAcentral